RNAcentral lists this ribosomal RNA (253 nucleotides) under uncultured bacterium. RNAcentral's name for it is "partial 16S ribosomal RNA". It matches the Rfam family "Bacterial small subunit ribosomal RNA", at positions 524 to 776 of the family's 1533-position model. The record is from RNAcentral.
UACAGAGGGGGCAAGCGUUAUUCGGAAUUAUUGGGCGUAAAGGGCGCGUAGGCGGCUUUUCAAGUGGCGGGUGAAAGCCCUCGGCUUAACCGAGGAAAUGCCUGCCAGACUGAAUGGCUUGAGACCGGGAGAGGUGAGUGGAAUUCCCAGUGUAGCGGUGAAAUGCGUAGAUAUUGGGAGGAACACCAGUGGCGAAGGCGGCUCACUGGACCGGUACUGACGCUGAGGCGCGAAAGCGUGGGGAGCAAACAGG